AUGCGGGACCCUACGGGUGCCGCGUUCGGAAUGAGUACGAUUCGAACCACCUAACGAGGAACGUUCGGAGGGCAAGUCUGGUGCCAGCAGCCGCGGUAAUUCCAGCUCCAAUAGCGUACGUUAAAGUUGCUGCAGUUAAAAAGCUCGUAGUUGAACGUUCGGGUUCCGCGGGACGGGGCCGCCCCGCGAGGGACGGCGCCGCCCCGGGGCUCGUGAUAUCUUAUCUCGCCGCCCGUCGCGAGGCGGACGGAGGGAUGGAUGAGGUUACCUGGAAAAAAUCGGGGCGAUCUAGGCGGGCGAACCUCGCCAACGAACGAUCGGACAUGGGAUAACGGAAGAGGGCGUCGGCUCGACUUCGUCGGUUCCUCGGGCCGAGGCACGUACGGUGAAUAGGGACGGUCGGGGCCGCCCGUACCGGGUCGUGAGAGGUGAAAUUCUAGGAUCGACCCGAGACGAACUGCCGCGAAGCAUUCGGCAAGGACGCUUUCAUUAAUCAAGAACGAAGUCGGGGAUCGAAGACGAUCAGAUACCGUCGUAGUCCGACCGUAACGAUGCCGACCGA
Molecule: ribosomal RNA, 562 nt
Filed under: uncultured eukaryote
Lineage: Eukaryota
Description: bacterial SSU rRNA
Rfam family: Eukaryotic small subunit ribosomal RNA
Source: RNAcentral